This is a long non-coding RNA of Parus major (Great Tit), 674 nucleotides long. RefSeq lists it as uncharacterized. The transcript has 2 exons. The record is from RefSeq and is a predicted model, not a curated record. Lineage: Eukaryota; Metazoa; Chordata; Aves; Passeriformes; Paridae.
CCCCAGUAACCAGGUGGUGGAUGUGAUCCAUGGGAAUUUGGGAUAUUUUUCCAUUUAGGAACAGGGUGAAUGCUGAAGGUUCCGUCAUGAGGAGGUGAUGGAUCUGAUCCAUGAAAAUCUGGGCUAUUUUUCCAUGCAGGAACAGGGUGAACAUGGAAGGUUCCCCAAUAAACAGGUGGUGGAUCUGAUCCAUGGGAAUUUGGGCUAUUUUUCCACGGAGGAAUGGGGUGAACAUGGAAGGUCCCCUCAUAAGCAGGUGAUGGAUGUGAUCCAUGGGAAUUUGGGAUAUUUUUCCCUUUAGGAACAGGGUGAAUGUUGAAGGUUCUGUCAUGAGCAGGUGGUGGAUGUGAUCCAUGGGAAUUUGGGAUAUUUUCCCUUUAGGAAUGGGGUGAAUGUUGAAGGAGCCAUGCACAAGUAGGUGCUGAAUGUGAUCCAUGGGAAUCUGGGAUAUUUUCCAUGUAGGAACAGUGUGAAUGUUGAAGGAGCCACACACAAGCAGGUGAUGGAUCUGAUCCAUGGGAAUUUGGGAUAUUUUUCCAUGGAGGAACAGGGUGAACAUGGAAGGUCCCCUCAUAAGCAGGUGGUGGAUGUGAUCCAUGGGAAUUUGGGAUAUUUUUCCAUUUAGGAAUGGUGUGAACAUGGAAGGAGCCCCAAUAAACAGGUGGUGGAUCUGA